AAGAGUGUUAGUGCAGGAAAUUUCGAAAAAUGUCUGCAUGACCGCUAAAAAUUUGUUGUGCUACGCGACGGCUUGAACAUGAGCGCCAGAUGCUGUCCGUUGGUGUUUGGCAAGCUCGGACCCUGGCAAAGACGUGCCUCCCGCUCUGUACGGAAGUGAAACAGUCCAAGUUCGCGAAGCCUCUUGGUACUUUCUUUCUCAUGAUUACGUGCUGCAGACAUCUCUCUGAAGUACAACUGUUAAGGCUUCUGCUGCAUAUAUACCCAACGGAAACUUUAUGAGGAGGCGUCUCCUGCGUAUUUGGGUCACCUUCCAGAGUCCUCGUCUUCACAGAAUACCCUGUUCCUCACAGUUACGCCAUUCGAGCGCAACGCUGCCGGACUGCGCUUUUUUCGUGUCCAGUUGGUUCCGGUUUCUUCCUGAGUAUUAAAAACGAAUUGUCGUUUAUUUGUUGCCGUACCGCGGGGUCCACGUCAUUGACGGAACGAGACAAUCUCGUGGCUUCAGCGGUGGGUGUGCUGAUCUUCCGGCAUCUACCGUGACAUACUUUAUUUUCCCAUGUAGCAUAGAGUGUGUAUCACUCCGCCUCGACACAGCGCGGAGAAGGCCUACUUCUUUUGUGUUCAAAGACCGCUAGCGAGCCUUGAAGUCACACGACGACAGCGGGAGGUGCGAUAACGGAGAGUCAAGUUCCGGCGGGUAAAUUGUUUCCAUUAGUCCUUGGUUCCUCGUAGAGGGAUUUUUGGGAGAAUGUGUGCUGCAUCCCAGUUGAUCGCGUUCUGGAAAAGUUUUCGACGGAAUCCCCCGGAGAAUGUGUGCUGCAUCCCAGUUGAUCGCGUUCUGGAAAAGUUUUCGACGGAAUCCGAUAGCAUUCAUGGUGUCUAUCCUGGUGAUGCUAAUGGCGCUGAAGGUGUUUUUCUUCUUGUGUCCUGACUAUGAUCCCGAUCGCACCCCCGUGGUGUGGAAUGGGGAAACACGCUGAUUCGUUCUACAUGCGGUAGCAUUCAAGACAGGUUGAGGAAGGCUAGGGUUGGAGUUAGACGACAUCCAAUCAAGUAAGCAACAAGCUAACCCGCAGUGACUUGUGACGAACUACACACGUCGGGGAUGAUUUGGCAAAUUUUUCGAGAUCUCUAUCUCUCCUGCUCCCCAGGGGAGCAGUCCUUACUGCUCGUGAAGCUACACAACGUGUGACGUCCAAGAAAGGCAUACAAACCGAAGCACACAACACAACGGUGAAUAUCAUCGUCAAUGGCGUACGACAAAUUUUGCCGUAUCUAAAGUGUGAGUGCUUGAAAGGCUAAUGUAGCAUGAUGCAGAUUUCCGAGUCUGGUUUUAAAAUGUGUUGGUUUCCACCGCCUCAAGGUUACGUUGUUUCUGCUAAUCAUCAUUGGUCUUUCUGGACGUGUACGCAGCGAUUUCGCCGGUGUGCCUCGUGCGUGACCCACAUGAAUGAGUUCCGUCAACUGAAGACCCUGGGAAAACAAAAAGAUUAACUUGCUACAUUCUUCGUGGACUGUGCGUUUACUAUGAUGGACACUUCGAUCAAAUUGUUUAUUCAGUAUGGCGGAGGCCUGUGUUGCAUAGAGUAGGCGCGUCAGCGUUUUCACGACGCCUCAGGCCGAAGUGUCUUACGCUGUCGGUAUAUUCAUAUCCGAAUCCUCUUAAGUAUGCUUAUGGGAUGACGGUCUCUUCCGUGCAGCGAGAACUGCCUUCACAAUUUUUUUGAGUCCGCUUCUGACAACGACCAGUACACACUGCAUAACUUUUCAGCCCGUCCGAAUGUUCAUAUUUGCUUGCGACAGGCCACUUGGUGCCCCGCAUCAGUGGUAAAACAGCUGCGGAAACGGAUGUCUCUUGGGUAGUCGAUUAUCCGUCUAGAUGUGCCGCAGCGGUUCCUCUUAGGCUCAUCGAGGUAACGCUCAAUCACGGUCAAUAGGGUGGAGGCUGUCCCGAGCUGCACGUGGACACAGGGCAAAGUUCAGAAGCGAGAACUUCAAUCCAGAGUAGCUUGUGAUCUCUGCGGUCC
This 2029-nucleotide long non-coding RNA is filed under the name Toxoplasma gondii VEG. The record is from RNAcentral. Lineage: Eukaryota; Apicomplexa; Conoidasida; Eucoccidiorida; Sarcocystidae.